This 7393-nucleotide long non-coding RNA is filed under the name Sus scrofa (pig). RNAcentral describes it as "lncRNA (ENSSSCG00040040070.1)". Lineage: Eukaryota; Metazoa; Chordata; Mammalia; Artiodactyla; Suidae. The record is from RNAcentral.
AGAGAGUGUCACCUCCUGUCUUGGGAUCUUCAGGCUCUGCUAACUGGACCUCACCCUGCCUGCAGGAUCACAUUGCAAAGCUUUCACCCUUCCCCACCUUGCCUGGGGGUAAAUUUCUUCUGCGGAAUCUCAGAAAAUCAAAUUCCAUCCUAAGACUAUUUCACCAAGUAUUUCCUUAAGGAGCUGUGCUGGGGUCCUACGAUGAUACACCAACCACUUGUGCUACCACCUGUCAAAACUAUGGAUGGCCCUACUUUCAGGUCUUGACCUUUGUAUUUAAGAAAUUCUUCGAGACAAUGUUGAUUCUGAUCCAAGAGAAAAUGUGAUUUGAGUCUGGAGACAAUUGUGCAUAUCAACUAAAAAUAAAAGCUCAAAAUACCUGUUAGAAGAGAAAAUACUAUUUGGAAGAUUGCUACAUUUAAAAAGAAAAGCUUUUUCUAGUUUGAUUUAUAUUACAUCACAUAGUUCAUUUCGGCUUUAAUGAUGGAGAAAAAGUAUAUCCUGUAUUUUCUGUUUCUCUUACCUUUUUUUAUGAUUCUUGUCAUAGCAGAAACAGAAGAAGAAAACCCUGAUGACUUAAUUCAGUUGACUGUUACUAGAAAUAAAAUCAUGACAGCUCAAUAUGAAUGUUAUCAAAAAAUUAUGCAAGACCCUAUUCAACAAACAGAAGGCAUUUACUGCAACAGAACCUGGGACGGAUGGCUAUGCUGGAAUGAUGUUGCUGCAGGAACAGAAUCAAUGCAGCAUUGCCCUGAUUACUUUCAGGACUUUGAUCCUUCAGAAAAAGUUACGAAAAUCUGUGACCAAGAUGGAAACUGGUUUAGACAUCCAGAAAGCAACAGAACAUGGACAAAUUAUACCCAGUGUAAUAUUAACACACAUGAGAAAGUACAGACUGCACUGAAUUUAUUUUACCUGACUAUAAUUGGACAUGGAUUAUCUAUUGCAUCACUGCUUAUCUCACUUGGUAUAUUCUUUUAUUUCAAGAGCCUAAGUUGCCAAAGGAUUACCUUGCACAAAAAUCUGUUCUUCUCUUUUGUUUGUAACUCCAUUGUAACAAUCAUUCAUCUCACUGCAGUGGCCAACAACCAGGCCUUAGUGGCCACAAAUCCUGUUAGUUGUAAAGUGUUCCAGUUCAUUCAUCUUUACCUGAUGGGAUGUAACUACUUUUGGAUGCUUUGUGAAGGCAUUUACCUACACACACUUAUUGUGGUGGCCGUGUUUGCAGAGAAGCAACACUUGAUGUGGUAUUAUUUUCUUGGCUGGGGAUUUCCACUGAUUCCUGCUUGUAUACAUGCUGUUGCCAGACGCUUGUACUACAAUGACAAUUCUGAUACCCAUCUCCUCUACAUUAUCCAUGGCCCGAUUUGUGCUGCUUUAUUGGUGAAUCUUUUUUUCCUUUUAAAUAUUGUACGAGUUCUUAUCACCAAGUUAAAAGUUACUCACCAAGCAGAGUCCAAUCUCUACAUGAAAGCUGUGAGAGCUACACUUAUCUUGGUGCCAUUACUUGGCAUUGAAUUUGUGCUGAUUCCAUGGCGACCUGAAGGAAAGAUUGCAGAGGAGGUAUACGAUUACAUCAUGCACAUCCUUGUGCACUAUCAGGGUCUGUUGGUAUCUACAAUUUAUUGCUUCUUUAAUGGAGAGGUUCAAGCAAUUCUGAGAAGAAACUGGAAUCAAUACAAAAUCCAGUUUGGAAACAGCUUUUCCCACUCAGAUGCUCUCCGAAGUGCAUCUUACACUGUGUCAACCAUCAGUGAUGGUGCAGGUUACAGUCAUGACUAUCCAAGCGAACACUUAAAUGGAAAAAGCAUCCAUGAUAUGGAAAAUAUUGUCAUAAAACCGGAAAAGUUAUACGACUGAUACUAGAGGGAGUAUUGCUAAACUGUGCCACUCCUAACUCAAGGAUUUGUAUCUGUGAUUUCACAACCAGAAGACUUUAAGUGAACGUCAUGAAGAUGACAAAGAAACCCCUCACAUGAACAUAGCCGUGUGUUGAUAAAUGUUUCAUAAUAGCUCCAUGGGGGAAAAAAGCUCUGAUUUGUAGUGUCUGCCAGUUUUUAUGGUGUAAACAUCCCCACCAUGGCUGAUUUGAAACUAUCAGCUUGACAUCACUGAAUGUAGAAUUGGGUAAAGAUGAGCACAGUCAGUUCUUGUAGGCUGGUGUGAGCUGGCUCUAGCACACCACUGCAUGCAUCCACAUAUAGAAGUUCAUAUACACCUUGGGCAAAAGAUUAUAAAAGUUCAUAUAUACCAUGGGCAAGAUUCUACUCUCACAGCCUAAAGAGACCUAGUUAAGGCCUAUACACUUGAAGGGAAAAAUCAGCUUUUCAUGUCUUUGUUUUUAAAAUCUUUAUCCCACAGUCAUUUGUGCAGAGGAUUUUUUUUUUUUUCCCAGAAAGUAUUUUAACACUUCUUGUUUUUACUUUUUCAAAUAGAACAGGUAAGGCGUUACUUAUUCCUAUUGGCUUACUCUCUUCUCCCCAGGAAAAACAACAGAGCAGAACCGCUAUUGGUUACUCAUGUGCUGGUACAUCACAGUUAUACUUUCUGUCGUAUCCAUUUUUGAGACUUGAUAAAUAGUAUUAUGAAAUGCAAUCCUACUUUGGUAUCAUUAGGGAGAUGUCUUGGUUGAUACUAUAAAACAUGCUGUCAACUAUUUUACCGUCCUACUAUACAAGUGGGAGGGAAUCUGUGUCCAUGUACCUGUAAAUAGGAACUUUGCUCCUCCUCUCAUUUCUACUAUGUGGACAAAUUAGCAGUUAUUUUACAUGAAGGAAAACAAUGAAGGAGUUCAUAUUUUCUUAAAAGUUUGUAAAAAAUUUGUUGUGAAAAGUGAGCUUGUAAAUACUCUGUUAUUCUAUUUUAUAGUCUCAAACAUAUACAAUCUAAGUAAGUUUUUUUUUAAAAAAAAAACUUAAUGUAACAUUGUGUGCUUGUUAAUGUCUGAUACUGUGUCUGGGCUGAUUUUAUAAUAAAAUAGGAUCUGGAAUUCUAUAUUUGGUAAAUAUUUUAAAGACAACCAGAUGCCAGCAUCAGAAGUUUGUUUGAGAACUAAGUAAUAGAAAUAUCUAUGAUAAGAUAUAAAAUAUUUAUUUUUGAAAACCCUCAAGGACCUUGUUUUAUUGAAUAUAUUACCUUUGAUGAUUCAUACCUUAAUAAUAGGUAUGUUUGACAUAUUUAUCCUUCUAUUUUGACGAUGAACUUUCAUUCUAAUUCAGAAAAUUUGAACGACUCUUAUAGUAAAUCCCCACUCUUUUGGUUUUACCCCAUUAAAAAUAUUACUUUUCUAAAUUACUAUAAGAAGAUAUAUGGCUUUGGAAAUAUUCCAAGCUAAUUUUAAAAAGUAGAGGAAUACAAUAUAUAUCAUAUACAAUUUUUAAUAUUUUAAUAGAGCUACUAUACAAUUCAGUGAAAGAACUGAAUCUAUCAGUGAGAAAGAAUGAAUGUAUCAGAACAUUUAGGGAAUAAAUAAAUUAAGAUGGAAGAAUCUUGCUAAUGAAUUAGAGGGACAUUUAAAUAAGAUUCAGUUUCCCUAAUGUUAUUUUCCACUGAAAUUUCUGAAAAACGAAAUGCCUUCUAUUAGUAGGUUAAUUUUGUCAGAAAAACUCAUAUGUGUUUUAUUGCAGUAUGUCAAUCUGCUUUAAAUGGAUUAAACUAAUGACUUAGUCAUCAUAGAGUGUUUCUUAAGCUGUCAAUAGGUGGUAAGUUCAGAAGUCAUUUGAGAUUGUCCAGGUUAAUUAUCCAAAUUAGUAAGAAUUAACUUAUUAAAUAGCCUGGUUGAUAGAUUUAUAAUUUAUGAUUUAUCUAUAUGCAUGGAGAAGCUGAUAUAUUGUUAGUUUUCAAUUUAUGGAUUUCAUAAUAAGAUGUCAUGAAAAGGAUUACAGGCUGUUCUGGACUUUCUAAUUCCUAAAUUAUACAAAAAUUCCUUUAAAUGAACUCAGUUUUUAGCUAUUUAUUAUUCAAAGACACAGAUUCAGACCCUUUGCUGGUGUCAUUCAUAUAUUUCAGCAUUUUUCCAGACAAACUAUCAAGUAUAAACCAUAAAUAACAGUAGAAAAUGUCAAAUUAUCAGUGGGCACUAUAUUAAAAUUACAUUAUAACUUUCAAGUAUUUUUACUGUGUUUUUAUCAUAUUAAGUUUAGAUCAAAUUUCCUUUAUGGCCAGGAUUUAUCUGUUGUACCAUCUUUUGGUGUAGGCAAUCCAUGAUUAAUUAGUGUUAGUUUUACACUCAUGUAUAUUUAGGAGUAACAUUUUUUUAGUAUUAGACUUCUCUAAAGCUGAAGUGCUAAUAAUUAAGAUUUCAUUUAUAUCCUACUCAUGAAGAAAAAGUAUAAUUAAUACCUUUUAAAAACAAACUUCUUUGGUAUCUAAAAGCUUAUUUGGGGAAUUUCUAACUUUUAAAAUGAAAAUCUGCUACUUUUCUGCAAGUACUUGUGAAAGUCAUUUUAAUUUUUUAAAAAAUUUAGCCCUUUAAUUUCUAAAUAUAUUUAGUGCAUUUAUUCAUAAAAUUUUCAUUCUGGAAUUUAGCGCUUAUUCAAAUGUAAUCCAUGUACAUAGAUGUAGUGGGAACUGUUGUGCUGUAUUUAUUGCUUGUAUAAUUUUUUUAAAAUGUGAACUUAUUUUUAUUUUCUCUUGGUUUUAAUAUGCUAAUGGAAACCACCAUGUCUUUUAUUUCUAAAACAUAUUCAAGAUAUUCUGAUCAAUUUAAAAAACUCAUAUUAUGCCUACUUAAUGUAUAUCUCUAUAUUUUUACUGUAUGAAAAUAUUAAAGUUAUGAGCUAAAAUUGAUUUUCACUCACAUUUACUGAAGCACUGACUAAUCUAAAUUAUAAAUCUUUAUAGCAAUCAGUGGAAUACAUCUUAAAAUCAAUAACCCUGUAAAUCAUUCCAUUAACCAAUUUGUUAAAAUUAUAAUUUAUUUUAUAAGUUAGAAAAUUCCAAAUAAACUUCAGUGUAUACAAAUUCCUUCCUAGGCUGAAAGAAAUGAAAAGAUAAAAAUGCCCAGAUAUGGGAAAAUGUACAGAGAUUUAUCUUCUUUCUCCUUUAUAUUCCAUUGUACUAUUUUGUGUUGAAUAGCAGGGAGACAAAGAAGGAAAAGAACUAUUUAAAUAAAUAAUUCACCCAUUUAAAGUCAUUUUUAGUGUAUUAUAUUAGUGUAGUAUAUUUACAUAUAUUCAAAGAUAUGUAAGCAUCCCACGGUUCAUUUUAUUACACUUUCAAGACCUCAGGAGGAAACCAUGCAUGUUUCAUUCCUUCAUCCUUUCAUCCCUGCUCUCAGCCAGCCCUUCGGCAUAACUAACCUACUUUCUAUCUCAAUAGACUUCCAUAUUCUCAACUUUCAUAUGAAUGGAAUCACAUAGAACAUGAUCUUUGGUGACUGACUUCUUUCACCUAUAAUGUUUUCAAAGUUUAUUCAUGUUUUAGCUUGUUUCAGUUUUUCAUUCCUUUUUAUGCCUAAAUUAUUCCAUUGUAUGGAUUUACCACAUUUUGUUUAUCCACAUUUGUCUGUUGAUAUACAUUUGUGUUGUUUCCAUCUUUUGGCUAUUAUGAAUAAUGUUUCCAUAAACAUUUGUGUACAAGCUGUUUAUUUUAAAAUAUAUAUUUUAAUUUCACUUGGUUAUAUACCUAGAAGUGGAAAUGUUGGGUCAUAUGUUAACUGUGUUUGAGAACUGCCAGACUGUUUUCCAAAAUAGCUGGACCAUUUCACAUUUCCACUAACAAUGUCUGAGGGUUCUGCUUUCUCCACAUGUUUCCCAACAGAUAAUAAUAAGUUAUUAUCUGUUUUUGUGCUUUAGUCAUCCUAGUAGGUGUGAAGUGGAUUUUAUAGUUUUAAUUUACAUUUCUUUGAUGGCUAAUAAUGUUGAGCAACUUUUCACAUUUUUAAUGGCCACUUGUAUACAUUCUUUAGAGAAAUGUCAAUACAAAUCCUUUGUCCAUUUUCAAUUGGAUUGUUUGUCUUUUAUUAUUGAGUUGAAAGAGUUCUUAAUAUAUUCCAGAUGUAGGUCCCUCAUCAGAUUUGCACACAUUUUCUCCUAGUCUCUUGAGUUGUCUUGUCAUUUUCUUGAUGGUGCCUUUAUAGCACAAAAAAGUUAAUUAUAUUGAUGAAAUGCAAUUAUCUAGUUUUUCUUUUGUUGCUUAGUCCGUUGGUGUUUUAUAUAAAAACCCUUUCCCAAAUUCAAGGUCAUGAUCAUCUACCCCUACAGUUUCUUCUAAGAAAUUUAUAGUUUGUGUUCUUUGGUCCAUUUUGAGUGAAUUUUUGUAUAUGGUGUGAGAUAAGAAGCCAAAUUCAUUCUUUUUCAUUAUCCAGGUACUAUUCACUGAAAAACGUUAUUUUUCUGCACUGAAGAAUAUCCUUGUAUCUAUGUCCUUAUCAAAAUUCAAUUUACCAUAAAUGUAUGGGUUUAUUUCUGAACAAUUCUCUUGGUCUUUGUACCCAAACCACAUGUCUUGAUUAUUUUGCUUUGUUGUAAGAUUUGAUGUUAGGUAGUUUGAGUUAUUCUAUUUUAUUCUUUCUCACAGAUGUUUUGGCUAUUCUAGGUCUCUUGUAAUUCCAUAUGCAUUUUAGAACGAGCUUGUAAAUUUGUACAAAGAAGCCUGCUGGAAUUCUGAUAAAGAUUAAUUGAAUCUAUAGAUAAUUGGGGGAAUAUUGCUAUCCUAAUGUUAAAUUUAACAUUUGAUGAACAUUGGAUUCAUGAACAUUGGAUCAUGAACACUGGAUGACUUCAUACUUACUUCAAUUUUUAACUGUUUUCAAUGGUGUUUUGUAGUUUUUGGAGUGUAACUUUUUCAUUUACUUGUCAAAUUUAUUCCUAAGCAUUUUAUUCUUUCUGAAGCUAUUAUUAAUGGAAUUGUUUUCUUAAUUUUACUUUUAGAUUGCAUAUUCCAAGUGUAUAGAAAUAAAAUUAACUUUUGUAUAUUGAUCUUAUAUCCUGCAACCUUGCUGAACUCAUUUAUUAGUUAUAUUUUAGUGGAUUCCUUAUGAUUUUUCAUAUAAAAAUCAUGUCAUCUGCAAAUAGAGAUAGUUUUACUUCUUCCUUUUGAAUUUGAAUGCCUUUUCUUUCUUUCUUUUCUAAAUGCCAUGGCUAGAAUGUUCAGUAAAAUGUUGAAUAGAAGCAGCUAGAGCACACAUCAUUGUCUUGUUCCUGAUCUUAGGGGAAAGUAAUUAGUCUUUUGUCAGUAAGUUAGUUAACUGUGUUUUUUAUAGAUGCCCUUUAUCAGUUUGAGACAGUUCCCUUCUCUUCUAGUUUGUUAAUUGCUUUUACCAUGAAAAGAUGUUGGAUUUCGUCAAAUGCUUUUUCUGCAUCUAUUGAUACAAUCAUGUGAUUUUUGUUUUAUAUUUUAUUGAUACAAUGUAUUAUAUUAAUUCUCAGAUAUUAAAACAAUCUUGCAUCCC